UACAAAAUAAGCAUAGGAUUAUUUUAUUCACCAAAGUAUUGUUAAUUAGCAGAGCUCAAUUCUUUGGUGUCAGUUUAUCAAAUUUACCUUCUAGGUUUUGAGUUUAUUAUUAAGAACCUGCGUAGACUUAUUUUAUUUUUUAAUGCAUAGGAUCUUUUGCCAGAAAUGAGGGCAUACUGGCCUGACGUAAUUCACUCGUUUCCCAAUCGCAGCCGCUUCUGGAAGCAUGAGUGGGAAAAGCAUGGGACCUGCGCCGCCCAGGUGGAUGCGCUCAACUCCCAGAAGAAGUACUUUGGCAGAAGCCUGGAACUCUACAGGGAGCUGGACCUCAACAGUGUGCUUCUAAAAUUGGGGAUAAAACCAUCCAUCAAUUACUACCAAGUAAGUCUUGCUUUUGCUUCUUUUCUCGUGUGUCUCUCCCGGGGACCUCCAG
This 433-nucleotide long non-coding RNA is filed under the name Homo sapiens (human). RNAcentral's name for it is "non-protein coding lnc-RNASET2-2:2". The record is from RNAcentral. Lineage: Eukaryota; Metazoa; Chordata; Mammalia; Primates; Hominidae.